Molecule: ribosomal RNA, 444 nt
Filed under: Nassarius pullus
Lineage: Eukaryota; Metazoa; Mollusca; Gastropoda; Neogastropoda; Nassariidae
Description: partial 12S ribosomal RNA
Rfam family: Microsporidia small subunit ribosomal RNA (bases 67-444)
Source: RNAcentral
UUUAAAGCUUCAAACUGGGAUUAGAUACCCCACUAUUCUUGAUUUUAAAUAUAAUUAAAUUUACCAGAGUACUAUGAAUGGUUAAAAAUUUAAAACUCAAAGGGCUUGGCGGUGUUUUAGACCUAUCAGGGGAACCUGUCUCAUAAUCGACAAUCCACGCAAUAUCUGACCUUAUUUUGUAAUCAGUUUGUAUACCGUCGUCGUCAGGUAACUUUUAAAAAUAUAGAAGUUAGCAAUCAAAAUUACUUUGAGUUAAAACGUCAGAUCAAGGUGCAGCCUAUAAUAAGGAGAGGAUGGGUUACAAUUAUAAAAAUUAUAAUUACGGAAAUUUAAAUGAAAUUUAUUUUUUGAAGGAGGACUUGAAAGUAAACUGGAAUAUAUAAAUAGUUUGAAUGAGGCUCUGAAACGUGCACACACCGCCCGUCACCCUCUGCAGUCAAAAAA